Molecule: small nucleolar RNA, 128 nt
Organism: Nematolebias whitei (Rio pearlfish)
Lineage: Eukaryota; Metazoa; Chordata; Actinopteri; Cyprinodontiformes; Rivulidae
Product: small nucleolar RNA SNORA77
Exons: 1
Source: RefSeq, a predicted model, not a curated record
GCAGACAUACUCAAGUCUUUGCUGUACACUCCAGCUUGGGGCUUUUUCUGUCUGCUACAUGAACACGCAGAAUGUAACACUGCUGGCUUUACAAGAAGGCCAGUGUCCGCAUGUUCUGCUACAUUAGA